RNAcentral lists this ribosomal RNA (301 nucleotides) under uncultured bacterium. RNAcentral's name for it is "partial 16S ribosomal RNA". It matches the Rfam family "Bacterial small subunit ribosomal RNA", at positions 509 to 807 of the family's 1533-position model. The record is from RNAcentral.
CAGUAGCCGCGGGAAUACGAAGGGGGCUAGCGUUGUUCGGAAUUACUGGGCGUAAAGCGCGCGCAGGCGGUUCUCCAAGUCAGUGGUGAAAGCCCGGAGCUCAACUCCGGAACUGCCAUUGAAACUGUUGAACUUGAGGACGAGAGAGGUGAGUGGAAUUCCCAGUGUAGAGGUGAAAUUCGUAGAUAUUGGGAAGAACACCGGUGGCGAAGGCGGCUCACUGGCUCGUAUCUGACGCUCAGGCGCGAUAGCGUGGGGAUCAAACAGGAUUAGAUACCCCAGUAGUCCCUGUCUCUUAUAC